AAAAUCAAAUCCCUAUUAGGAUAAAUGAUUGAGUGUUCCUGUAAAGAAUUGUUCCCCUGGUUCAAGCAACCAGAUUUCAUUCCCAGAUGAUCAAAAAUGGACUUGAUGAAAUGGAAAAGCACUGAUAGAAACAGUUCCACUGCUCAAAAUUACUCCUGAAGGGAUGAGGACACCAGGAUAUGCCACCGGACCACUGAAGGAAUGGUGAUGGUAUGAAGAAAGUAUUUUUAAUGAGCAGAGCCAUUGUUUGCUCUGCUCUGUCCUCACCCCUCAAGAGAAUUUCCCUUAUUAUUAUGAAAACUUUUUAUCUUAAAAGAUAUUACAUGUUAAUGGAACUGUCGUUUAACAAAUGUUUUAUAAGUGUACCAAUCAAGCACAUUGUCGAAAUAAAAGAUAUGAAAUAAGUGAAAA
Molecule: long non-coding RNA, 411 nt
Filed under: Homo sapiens (human)
Lineage: Eukaryota; Metazoa; Chordata; Mammalia; Primates; Hominidae
Description: non-protein coding LINC01611:1
Source: RNAcentral